This is a non-coding RNA of Sesamum indicum (sesame), 710 nucleotides long. The record is from RefSeq and is a predicted model, not a curated record. Lineage: Eukaryota; Viridiplantae; Streptophyta; Magnoliopsida; Lamiales; Pedaliaceae.
UUAAUAACAAAUCCUUUUGAUAUUUACUUGCUGAAAAUUGUGAUCCCCGCUUCCAUAGAACAAUAUCGUGGCAACGUAGACCUAAGUGGUCAUAUUGAAUCCUUGGGAGCCAUCACAAGUACGGCCGGCCUAUAUUUGAAAGAAAAUGCCGUGUUCGUCCAGCGGCUUAAAUGAGAAAGUACCAUACCUUGGGCGGAUAGCGGGCAGGACAAUUCAAACUAACUGGUCCUCACCUCAUUACUCUGAGGAAUUGCUUGAACUGCUGGUGAGAUGGAAUCGAAAUGAUCCAGUAGAAAAUGGUAAAGGAACCACCUCAGCAUCUGGAAGUCCUUUCGUAGCAACUCAUCCCUCUUUGUCAGAGACCCGCACACCAUGCUAAGUGCCCCUAAAUAGCCAAGUACAGAAUGGGACUGUUGGGAACGAAAAUCACGCGGAAAACUCUGAUUUGGACGAUGAUGGUUUGGAGUAAUGGGUGAAGAAGAAGCCCCAAUUGGUUAGCCCUCUUGGUAAUACCUUUGGGCCACAUAUGGACGGCCAUCUUGCUACAUGUAAACACGAAAAUCGGUACCACUUGUGAUUCCAAAUACUUUCUUUUGUCUUCUAAUUCAAUUAAGACGCCAUGUUCUUCAUGUGUGAAGUGCAAAUGUUCCACUUGUAAUUUAAUUUUUUGUGAAGCUUUGGUUGGCCAUGCUUAAUUUAGUCAGCUAAUU